GGAGAGAUGGCCGAGAGGAUUAAAGCGUCGGAUUGCUAAUCCGUUGUACAAAUUAUAUGUACCGAGGGUUCGAAUCCCUCUCUCUCCU
RNAcentral lists this transfer RNA (88 nucleotides) under Danaea sellowiana. RNAcentral's name for it is "tRNA-Ser". It matches the Rfam family "tRNA". Rfam says of the family: Transfer RNA (tRNA) molecules are approximately 80 nucleotides in length. Their secondary structure includes four short double-helical elements and three loops (D, anti-codon, and T loops). Lineage: Eukaryota; Viridiplantae; Streptophyta; Polypodiopsida; Marattiales; Marattiaceae. The record is from RNAcentral.